This 667-nucleotide ribosomal RNA is filed under the name uncultured cyanobacterium. Its description in RNAcentral is "bacterial SSU rRNA". It matches the Rfam family "Bacterial small subunit ribosomal RNA", at positions 99 to 795 of the family's 1533-position model. Lineage: Bacteria; Bacillati; Cyanobacteriota. The record is from RNAcentral.
CGGACGGGUGAGUAACGCGUGAGAAUUCGCCUUUAGGAAGGGGAUAACAAGGGGAAACGCCUGCUCAAAUCCCAUAUGCCUUCGGGUCCAAAGAGUAAUCUGCCUAAAGAGAAGCUCGCGGCUGAUUAGCUAGUUGGUGGGGUAAAGGCCUACCAAGGCGACGAUCAGUAGCUGGUCUGAGAGGACGAUCAGCCACACUGGAACUGAGACACGGUCCAGACUCCUACGGGAGGCAGCAGUGAGGAAUUUUCUGCAAUGGGCGGAAGCCUGACAGAGCAAUACCGCGUGAAGGAAGAAGGCUUACUGAGUUGUAAACCUCUGUUACCUAAGGAGGAAGAUCUGACGUUACUUAGGAGACGAAGCAUCGGCUAACUCCGUGCCAGCAGCCGCGGUAAGACGGAGGAUGCAAGUGUUAUCCCGAAUCACUGGGCAUAAAGCGUCUGCAGGUGGAUUCUUAAGUCCACUGUUAAACCUUGAGGCUCAACCUCAAUUCAGCAUUGGAAACUGGGAAACUUGAGUAUAGUAGGGGUAGAGGGAAUUUCCAGUGGAGCGGUGAAAUGCGUAGAUAUUGGAAAGAACACCGAUGGCGAAGGCACUCUACUGGGCUAUUACUGACACUCGGAGGCGAAAGCUAGGGGAGCAAAUGGGAUUAGAUACCCCUGUAGUC